ACUCCCAUGGCAUGUGGAAAUUCUUGGGCCAGGAAUUAAACCUGCACAACAGCAGCAACCCAAACCACUGCAGUGACGAUGCCAAUCCUUAAUCCACUGUUCCACAAGAGAAAUCUGUCAGAUAGUUUAUUUCUAUUUAUUUUUAUUUAUUUAUUUUAGGGCCACACCUGCAGCAUAUGGAAGUUCCCAAGUUAGGGGUCAAAUCGGAGCUGCAGCUGCCAGCCUACAGUGCAGCCACUGCAACGUGGGAUCCAGUCUGCACAUCUGUGACCUACACCACAGCUUACAUCAACCUUAACCCAGUGAGUGAGGCCAGGGAUUGAACCUUCAUCCUCAUGGAUGCUACUCAGGUUGGUUUACCACUGAUCCAUGAUGCCUGAUCCCAGGUGUUAUGAGGUAAAAGACAAGGCUCCCUAUUUUUUAAAUAUUUUUCUUUAUAUAUUAUGAUAUCUCAAUGUUGAGGUUUAGGGAACUACAGUCUUAAUGAGUAUAGUAUAUAGUAUAACAAUGCAAUAAUUUAAGAUAUUAGCAACAGAGGGAUGGAUAAAAAUGUGGUACAUAUAUACAAUGGAAUAUUACUCAGCCAUAAAAAUGAAAUAAUGCCAUUUAAGCUACCUGGGUGCACAUAGAGAUUAUCAUACUAAGUGAAGUCAGAGAGAGAAAGACAAAUAUAAAAUAGUAUCAUUUAUAUGUGGAACCUAAAAUAAUAAUAAAAAUGAACUUUUAUAUACAAAACAGAAACAACUCAGACUUUGAAAACAAAUUUAUGGCUACCAAAAGGGAAAGGUGAGGGGGAGGGAUAGAUUGGGGGUUUGGGAUUGGUAUAUGAAUGCUAUUGUACAUGGACUAGAUAGCCAGUGGGGACCUGCUGAACAGCACAGAGAACUCUGCUCAAUAUUCUCAAAUUUCCAUAUCCUACAUGGGAAAAGAAUCUGAAAAAGAAUGGAUAUGCCUAUAUGCAUAACUGAAUCACUUUAUUGUACAGCAGAAGUUAACACAACACUGUAAAUCAACUAUAUUUCAAUAAAAUGUUUAAAAAUGAAAAAAUAUAUUAGCAACAAUUUUGGUGACAAUUUGGUAAAAUUAUUGAUAUUAAAAUGAAUUAAUGCAUGGGAGAAGGGCAUGUAGAAUAUGAGAUCUCUCAUCCCUUUAUAAAUGUCUUAAAAGCUACUAGGGACUUAUUGUGUAGGCUAUUUAUAGAUCAUUAAAUUUUACAUAAGACCAGGAACAAAAAUGUCUUUGCUGUGAGUACCAAAAUGCUAGAUUAUUUUUUUUGGCAACUGCACUUUAAAAAUUAACUCAUGCACACAAUGCUCUCAUUUUGUGGUGAAGUUCACAUUUUUAGUGAUAUUAGUUUUCCCAUUUUUAAAGUUCACACAUUUCUAUUAUAAUAAAAUAAAAUACUAUUUUACUAAAAAAAGUUAUUUCAAAAUUAAUGCACUCUUUUUGUUUUUGUUUUGUUUUUUGUUUUUGUGCACGCCAAAGAUGAAAGAUGAAAUUGGGAAGCAUAGAAGAAGGAAGGAAAUAUUAGAAAUAUAAACUGAGCAUCACAUACAUCAGCAACACUCUGUUCUCACAAGUCAGUAGAUGUGUUCUCUCCUGAAAGUUUAUUUUAGUAAUUUAUAUAACUUCCUUUUUGGAAAAUCUCUAAACCCAAGAAGGUUAAAAUCAAUCUCUGUGUAUCAACUUGCUAACGAGCUCAUUUAGCCCUUUGUUUUUAAGUGUUUUUGUCUCUCCUUUUCCCAGUUGCUGAUGGGCAAUCAGCAAUGUUAAGCCUGCUGACUAAUUGAAACAUUUUCUAAUUUAUAUGGAUCUCUGGAGAAGAUGCAUUCUACUUAACCUUGACAUUUGUUUUACAUUACAGGAGUCUACAAGAUUACAUUAUCCAAGAUUUAAAAAUCAGCUCUCAUUCCUUUUCUAAUUUGUGUCUCAAGAUUGUUCGAUGUCCCAUUGAAAGUUAACCAAUUAAAGAUAAAGAAAAUAAUUUUCCUCUACACCUGCCAGCCAGAACCAACAAUAAUAUUUAUAACCAUAUAGUACCUUCUUCCAAAGGAGUUUAAAAUCCCUUUUAUGAGGCAGGAAAGACAGGGCUGGGUCCAAGGACAGCCUCCUCAUGUACAGGCAUUAGGCAGAAGGCAAAGCUACCUCCUUGUUCUGCACUUACUGAGGCCAUGACCCAUGGUGGAAUGGCAUCUAAAACAGAAACUUUGUAGCAUCUGAGUAAGAAACUCUGACCAUGAAAAUGGUGGAGCAUGCACAAUGCUGAUGACCCUGGUCCAAGUGCAGGGCUCAACUAGUAAGAGGAAAUUUAAGCCACAUAUGCACAGUAACUUCAGGAGGAAAGUACUUAGGACCAGAAACUGAUGCAACCUGAUGCAAUCCAGGCCACACCUCAACCCUCCCCUCAAUGAAUAUCCCACCCCUAAUUAAAAAGACCCCACCCAUUCAAAGGGAUAAAAAUAAGAUUAAAAAUAUAUGAAAAAAAACUUUGGCAUACCCCUCAUUUGCGAGGACACCUACACUCUUUGCUGAGUGUGUCCUUUGUUUUUGCCUUAAUAAAGCCCUUCUUUGUUCUCUUUGCUCUUUACCCUCUGUGUGUGUGUUCAUGUGUGUGUUCAUGUGUGUGUGUUUGUGUGUGUGUGUGUUUCCUUUGUGUUCCUUGCCCAAAUUCUUUUGGACAAGUUGAACAGCCUGGACUUUUGAUAAAGUUUUUGCAGUAUCAUUUUUUAGAUGACUAAUCAUUCAUGUUUAAAGUUCUAUAAAUCAGGGAGAAAGCUGGACAUCUAAGUAUCAAAACAGAAGCCAUGAAGUAGUGGCCUACUAUGACUAUGGGCUCCUUCAUUUAAACUGACAGCUAGAAUGUUCUUUAGAGAAACUCCAGAGCAAUUGCUGAAGACAAUGGUGACACAUGCUCAGACUCCUUCACAGGCUGGUCCACAGCUGUGUCCUUUUCCAAGAAUUGCCUUUGGUCAGAAAUAUCCAACUGGGGUGGCCCUGUGGCCAAUGGCUGAAUGAUGCAGCAUACAAAGGCCGCCCUCUUAUCCCAAAGCAAGACAACUCUGUGGUGCCAUAUACAAGUCAGAAUUUUCCAUAGAAUCAGGCCGAGGCUGAACUCCAGCCAAAUGACACCUUCAGCCCUGUCCUACUCUAUCUCCUCAUUCCUUCAUGUUCACCUGAGCAAACUUACAACAAGCCAUCGGCAUCUACACUUGAUUCUAUGGAACCUAACUUAAAACAGAAGGUUUCUAUGACCAACAUCAUUAACAUAAUACUCACAAUUCCUUCAAAGCCCAGUUUACAGGCAUUUUACGUUGUCAUCUCACUAAAUCUUCACAACAGUUUUGCAGGGCAAUCAACAUUCACUGUUUGGAACUGAGGGGUUUCCUGGGAUGUAGGACUUUCAGCGGUAAAAGCAGAAAAGAUCCAAGCAAACCAGGAAAUAUCAGUCACCCUAUCCUGUCCUUCAAGCCUCCCUUCUCCCCUUUCUGACGAACUGAAGUUAGCACAGGUGAAUAAGGAGCAAAGUCUCAGAGAAGCAUGAGUGAGACCUAAGAUCCCAACUCCACUCCAAUACGUCUGACUCCCAAGAUUAUGCCUGUCCCAAUGCACCAGGUGGGCUGACUAAAGAUGGCACUACUGACUCCAGCCUAUUUGCUAUUUAGAGCCUUCCUCUUUUAUUAAAUUAAAAGCAAACUGCUCUUUUGCUUGAUAGAUUAACUGAUUUUGAAGGCAUAAAAGUAAAAGGUAAAUUCAGGGUGCAUCAAUAUGUGCUUCAGAACCAAUAGCUUGUCUUGCCUACUAACUGGCUUGGUCUCCCUAUCUCGUUUUAAAAUAUUUUCAUUUGUUAUAUUUAAGUACAGAUUUAACAUCCACUGGGAAGAUAUCUUGAUCAAUAAUGACUUUUUGGAGAAUAGCCCUGUUGAUUUUAAAUUUACUGAAAUUGAUUGGCGUUUAGUAGGGAUGGACAAUAAGGAGAAAGCAGAAAAACAUUUUAAUAAGUGUCUCAUUUGUUAUAGAUACUAUGUUAGCUAGGUGUUUCAUUUAUUCCUUCUCAGUGAAUCCUAUAAAACCUACUUAUUAAGAAAUUGAGAUUGGACAGACAAAAAAAUGAUGUAAAGGAAGUGAAAACUGGAACCAUUUUCACAAAGCUUUGGGAAGUUAACAAGAAAAAGAUUCAUAGUAAAAUAAAUGCUCUGGGUAGCCAUUGAGCUUUAGUAGGUCAUGAAAGUGGAGAUAUAAGGCAUAAGAUAAAUGACUCUGGUAGAAAGCUUCAUGAAAACCGAAAAAGCCUAAAGCUCCUUAAGUGAUGGUAACAGUUGAAAAGAAUAGUAGUUGAAUAUGAUCUUUGUGUCUAAACUGCUGAGUCUGAAUUACAAUAUUGCUACUCAAUAAAUAUGUGAAUCUAGGUAAGUUACUUAUCAUCUCUGUGCCUUAGUGUCCUCAUCUAUAAAAUGACAACAAUACUCCACUGGAAACUAUGAAAACUAAUGACUAAAUGCAUAUAAAACACUUAGCAUGGUCCUAUGUUUACAGUAAUCAUGUAUAGAAAGUUAGCUCUAAAUAUUUCCAUAAAGACAGAUUGCUUGUGCUUUUGUACUUUAAAAGGAGUUCUCAUGUUGUCUUUAGAAUCACUAAAGUGCAUUGGAAUAUCAUCUCAGUAUCUUAUCCUUUAAAUAAUCACUAACAUAAAUAUAGCAUUUAUCAUGAAAAGGGAUUUUGUGAAGGAUUUUAUAUAGCUUUUAUUUUCCUUUAAUUUGAACAACUUUUUGAUGUAGGUGCUGUGAUCCCCAUUUUCAGGGGAGGAUGUAAAGGUUGAACGAACUUUAAUAACUUGCCCAAGUUCACAGUAUGGUUGGUAGAG
Molecule: long non-coding RNA, 4861 nt
Filed under: Sus scrofa (pig)
Lineage: Eukaryota; Metazoa; Chordata; Mammalia; Artiodactyla; Suidae
Description: lncRNA (ENSSSCG00065059874.1)
Source: RNAcentral